This 497-nucleotide ribosomal RNA is filed under the name uncultured bacterium. RNAcentral's name for it is "partial 16S ribosomal RNA". It matches the Rfam family "Bacterial small subunit ribosomal RNA", at positions 28 to 507 of the family's 1533-position model. The record is from RNAcentral.
GAUGAACGCUGGCGGCGUGCCUAAUACAUGCAAGUCGAGCGAACAGACGAGGAGCUUGCUCCUCUGACGUUAGCGGCGGACGGGUGAGUAACACGUGGAUAACCUACCUAUAAGACUGGGAUAACUUCGGGAAACCGGAGCUAAUACCGGAUAAUAUAUUGAACCGCAUGGUUCAAUAGUGAAAGACGGUUUUGCUGUCACUUAUAGAUGGAUCCGCGCCGCAUUAGCUAGUUGGUAAGGUAACGGCUUACCAAGGCAACGAUGCGUAGCCGACCUGAGAGGGUGAUCGGUCACACUGGAACUGAGACACGGUCCAGACUCCUACGGGAGGCAGCAGUAGGGAAUCUUCCGCAAUGGGCGAAAGCCUGACGGAGCAACGCCGCGUGAGUGAUGAAGAUCUUCGGAUCGUAAAACUCUGUUAUUAGGGAAGAACAAAUGUGUAAGUAACUAUGCACGUCUUGACGGUACCUAAUCAGAAAGCCACGGCUAACUACGUG